UACGUAGGGGGCGAGCGUUGUCCGGAAUCAUUGGGCGUAAAGCGCGUGUAGGCGGCUUGGUAAGUCUGAUGUGAAAACUUGGGGCUCAACCCCAAGCGUGCAUUGGAUACUGCCUUGCUUGAGUCCGGGAGGGGAGAUCGGAACUCCGAGUGUAGCGGUGAAAUGCGCAGAUAUUCGGAAGAACACCGGUGGCGAAGGCGGAUCUCUGGAACGGUACUGACGCUGAGACGCGAAAGCGUGGGGAGCAAACAGG
RNAcentral lists this ribosomal RNA (253 nucleotides) under Miltoncostaea sp. RNAcentral's name for it is "partial 16S ribosomal RNA". It matches the Rfam family "Bacterial small subunit ribosomal RNA", at positions 524 to 776 of the family's 1533-position model. RNAcentral also lists the same sequence under 1 other name. Lineage: Bacteria; Bacillati; Actinomycetota; Thermoleophilia; Miltoncostaeales; Miltoncostaeaceae. The record is from RNAcentral.